ACUAGCAGCGGUUAUUUCAACAGGGACUCGUUCACCAUAUACCACUUUAUAGUGAGCAUUCCUACGAAGAUACAAACGACGUCCAAGCCAAGGAUUCCAGACUAUAAAGCAGGAGUCUAAGCCUGCUCUCACGUUAGCAACAGCUUCGUAGCGAAGAUGAAUGAGAUUGUGUCGAGGAAUAUGCUUGAACGGGCCUUUUUCCAAUGAACUAAAGGACAUCACUUUGACAGUCCCUCCCAUGUCACCCAAGAUAAUGUAGCAGCCUUGAAGGAAAUCCCACGUUCUAUCCUAUGAAGGAAAGAGGAUUCAAGAUAUUUCAAAACAAGUAAAUAAGAAUAUCUGACAUUAAAACUCACUGGACGGACUUCUGGACAAAAUGCAAUUCUGCACACAGCACUGCGGUGAUGAGUUUUUUGCAGCUGUAUCUCACCGGUCAAUGGAAGCUCCAAUGUUUGCCGCUGAACUGUGGUGUCUGUUCGUUGAAAUUCCGAUAGCAAGUAGGUAAUGAACUCAUCCCACGUUGUAUAUCCAUCUCUUUUCAAAUUUAUCUAAUGAUAAAGUCUUUCUGUUACAAAAUACUUACACAAUAAUUGAUAUAUGAAAAAUAAUAGUUCAUCGUAUAGUGAAAUCAUUAGUCUAUUUGAUGCUGCAAUACCUUACUAAACAGUACCCUAAAUUCUUGAUCUGGAAUAUCGAUUUUCAUUAUCUCCGCAAAUGCUUCCUGAAGUUCUGAUUCGCUCAUUUCUUCGUCUUUGGAAACCUGUAAUAAGGCAACAUUUCUUUAUGCGAUCAUUGACAUGAUAUGACUGUCAAAAUUAUAACUACAAUUGAGAAAUUAUCUCAUUACUGACCAAGAAGGCUUUGUGCAAUCUCAUCAAAUCUUCUUCUGUACAUUGCUCCUCAAUGCUCUUUUGGCUGUAGAAUUCUUCAAAUUGCCUCAGAAUGCUAAAUAAGUAUUAUCAUAUAAAUUUGAAAGAGCAUCCAAUAUUGAAUG
Long non-coding RNA from Athalia rosae (coleseed sawfly), 994 nucleotides. RefSeq lists it as uncharacterized. The transcript is spliced from 3 exons. The record is from RefSeq and is a predicted model, not a curated record. NCBI's taxonomy places the organism in Eukaryota, Metazoa, Arthropoda, Insecta, Hymenoptera, Athaliidae.